AACGAACGCUGGCGGCAUGCCUAACACAUGCAAGUCGAGCGCCCGUAGCAAUACGGGAGCGGCGCACGGGUGAGUAACGCGUGGGAACCUGCCCAGAGGUUCGGGACAACCGCGGGAAACUGCGGCUGAUACCGGAUGAUACCUGAGGGUCAAAGAUUUAUCGCCUUUGGAGGGGCCCGCGUCGGAUUAGGUAGUUGGUGGGGUAACGGCCUACCAAGCCUAUGAUCCGUAACUGGUCUGAGAGGAUGACCAGUCACACUGGGACUGAGACACGGCCCAGACUCCUACGGGAGGCAGCAGUGGGGAGUAUUGGACAAUGGGGGGCAACCCUGAUCCAGCAAUGCCGCGUGGGUGAUGAAGGCCUCGGGUUGUAAAGCCUUUCGGCGGGGACGGAUGAUGACGGUACCCGCAGAAGAAGCCCCGGCUAACUUCGUGCCAGCAGCCGCGGUAAU
RNAcentral lists this ribosomal RNA (452 nucleotides) under uncultured bacterium. RNAcentral's name for it is "bacterial SSU rRNA". It matches the Rfam family "Bacterial small subunit ribosomal RNA", at positions 28 to 524 of the family's 1533-position model. The record is from RNAcentral.